This 513-nucleotide ribosomal RNA is filed under the name unidentified oral bacterium AP60-50. RNAcentral's name for it is "bacterial SSU rRNA". It matches the Rfam family "Bacterial small subunit ribosomal RNA", at positions 8 to 521 of the family's 1533-position model. The record is from RNAcentral.
AGAGUUUGAUCCUGGCUCAGGAUGAACGCUGGCGGCGUGCUUAACACAUGCAAGUCGAACGAAGCUGUUAAAAGGAAGCCUUCGGGUGAAAUUUUAAUAGACUUAGUGGCGGACGGGUGAGUAACGCGUGGAUAACCUGCCUUAUACAGGGGGAUAACGGAGAGAAAUUUCCGCUAACACCGCAUAAGACCACAGCACCGCAUGGUGCAGGGGUAAAAUAUUUAUAGGUAUAAGAUGGAUCCGCGUCCGAUUAGCUAGUUGGUGAGGUAAAGGCCCACCAAGGCGACGAUCGGUAGCCGGCCUGAGAGGGUGAACGGCCACAUUGGGACUGAGACACGGCCCAAACUCCUACGGGAGGCAGCAGUGGGGAAUAUUGGACAAUGGGGGAAACCCUGAUCCAGCGACGCCGCGUGAGUGAAGAAGUAUUUCGGUAUGUAAAGCUCUAUCAGCAGGGAAGAAAAUGACGGUACCUGACUAAGAAGCCCCGGCUAACUACGUGCCAGCAGCCGCGGU